RNAcentral lists this microRNA precursor (52 nucleotides) under Pteropus alecto (black flying fox). Its description in RNAcentral is "mir-1302 microRNA precursor family". It matches the Rfam family "mir-1302 microRNA precursor family". The record is from Rfam by way of RNAcentral. Lineage: Eukaryota; Metazoa; Chordata; Mammalia; Chiroptera; Pteropodidae.
UUUUUAGUGUAAGUAUGUUCUAUGCAAUAUUUAGGACAUAGUUACAUUAAAA